AUGAGUAACACAACUGGUGCAAUGUUGAGCUGGAAUGUGAGAGGGAUGAAUUGGCCAGCGAAGCGUGCAACCGUGUGUGAGAUUGCGGAGGCUCAUCGAGCAAGCAUUCUAUGCCUCCAAGAAACAAAGUUGGAAUCCUCGACACCUGCCAUUGUUCACGAGCUAGGUGGCCGCAAGCUAGAGGGGUGCGCCGUUCUGCCUGCAAUGGGUACCAGAGGGGGAGCGGCCAUUCUCUGGGACAAGACCGUCAUCAGUUUCACCACUCAUGCAAUCGACUACUUCUCGAUCACGGGCAAAGUAUCUGAUCUGCAAGACAACUCCUCUUUUUGGCUCACGACACUAUACGGUCCUGCUGAUGAUGCACACAAGGACGCUUUCCUGGCAGAGAUGGCACACGCUGCACCGCCGCCCGGAGAGCCCUGGCUGGUCAAUGGAGAUUUCAACGUCAUAUAUGAAGCGAGAGACAAGAACAAUCUGAAUCUGAAUAGGAGGAUUAUGAGCAAGUUCAGGGCAGAUAUAGACACGAUAGGUUUGCGCGAGAUCAAGUGCAAAAAUAGAAGGUUCACAUGGACAAACGAGCGGCAGGACCCAACAAUGGUCUGCAUCGACAAGGUUUUCUGCAAUGUAGAAUGGGAUGCCCUCUUUCCAUCAUACAUGGUAAUGGCUUCGGCAACAGGAUCACUACCCGCUCGUGCUGGCCAACACCGCAACUCCAAAGAGGAGGCCCGUUUUCCGUUUUGA
This 741-nucleotide ribosomal RNA is filed under the name Triticum aestivum (bread wheat). Its description in RNAcentral is "partial small subunit ribosomal RNA". The record is from RNAcentral. Lineage: Eukaryota; Viridiplantae; Streptophyta; Magnoliopsida; Poales; Poaceae.